ACCUGGGUGGUUCAGUCGGUUGAGCAUCUGACUUCGGCUCAGGUCAUAAUCUUGCAGUACAUGGGUUCGAGCCCCGUGUCAGGCU
This 85-nucleotide transfer RNA is filed under the name Felis catus (domestic cat). It matches the Rfam family "tRNA". Rfam says of the family: Transfer RNA (tRNA) molecules are approximately 80 nucleotides in length. Their secondary structure includes four short double-helical elements and three loops (D, anti-codon, and T loops). Lineage: Eukaryota; Metazoa; Chordata; Mammalia; Carnivora; Felidae. RNAcentral also lists the same sequence under 3 other names. The record is from Rfam by way of RNAcentral.